CAAGCAUGCUCAGGAGCUGGCUCUUUGCUUCAAGGCAUUUUAAUUACCCAGCGAAGUGGCAGCAGGGGAGACGGGGCCAGGCUUGGAGACAUCAGUGGUUUGGCUGGAAUGAAACGGUCCAGAUGUUGCUGCUGCCUCUAGCCUCUCUCUCUGUUCUGAUAUGUCUGCUAACACUCAAUGCCGUCCAGUAGAAACACAACCUUCCUGGGACAUAAGGGUGCACCAGGCAUUGUGUAUGGUUUUAUAUGAGUCUCCGAUUGCAUUAUUGGAAUGACUGCAAAAGGAAGACAUGGAAAAUGGGAGCUCAGAGCAAAAAAAUUCAACCCAGAUCUGCUGAUUUUAUGUACCCGGGGCAGCUCUCUUGCUCUGGGCUCAGACUCAGUGUCUCAGAAGUCACCAGAUCUCAUUCUUCCAUGGGAUGAAAAGCAGUUGCUUCUUCUCCCAGGACCCGUCCGGCUGCAUCUGUCUCAGGCUACCCAGAGAAGAUGGUGUUUGCACCCGCUGCUGAUGGGCCUUCUGGAUCAUUCCAUCUGCCACGCAACAGUGACUCCAUUAAGCUUUGUUCUUCAGGAGGCCUUUGCUACUGUCUAAUAGUUUCCAUGCAUCUAUCAAGU
Long non-coding RNA from Grammomys surdaster, 614 nucleotides. RefSeq lists it as uncharacterized. Lineage: Eukaryota; Metazoa; Chordata; Mammalia; Rodentia; Muridae. The record is from RefSeq and is a predicted model, not a curated record. The transcript is spliced from 3 exons.